This 484-nucleotide ribosomal RNA is filed under the name uncultured bacterium. RNAcentral describes it as "partial 16S ribosomal RNA". It matches the Rfam family "Bacterial small subunit ribosomal RNA", at positions 30 to 507 of the family's 1533-position model. The record is from RNAcentral.
AUUGAACGCUGGCGGCAGGCCUAACACAUGCAAGUCGAGCGGAAGAAGGGAGCUUGCUCCUGGAUUCAGCGGCGGACGGGUGCGUAAUGCCUAGGAAUCUGCCUGGUAGUGGGGGAUAACGUCCGGAAACGGGCGCUAAUACCGCAUCCGUCCUGAGGGAGAAAGUGGGGGAGCUUCGGACCUCACGCUAUCAGAUGAGCCUAGGUCGGAUUAGCUAGUUGGUGGGGUAAAGGCCUACCAAGGCGACGAUCCGUAACUGGUCUGAGAGGAUGAUCAGUCACACUGGAACUGAGACACGGUCCAGACUCCUACGGGAGGCAGCAGUGGGGAAUAUUGGACAAUGGGCGAAAGCCUGAUCCAGCCAUGCCGCGUGUGUGAAGAAGGUCUUCGGAUUGUAAAGCACUUUAAGUUGGGAGGAAGGGCAGUAAGUUAAUACCUUGCUGUUUUGACGUUACCAACAGAAUAAGCACCGGCUAACUUCGUG